GUGUUCGUUAAAAGGAGAGAUGGUUGGCAUCUCCCCCGACAGGGACGGGAAAAGCUUUCGAGCUUUCUUCCAUCGAACGGAUACACGUGUGUCCGUAAGGCAUCACAAAUUUUU
Molecule: non-coding RNA, 114 nt
Filed under: Genlisea aurea
Lineage: Eukaryota; Viridiplantae; Streptophyta; Magnoliopsida; Lamiales; Lentibulariaceae
Source: RNAcentral